CAACAGGGAUUGCCUUAGUAACGGCGAGUGAAGCGGCAAUAGCUCAAAUUUGAAAUCUGGCGCUUGCGUCCGAGUUGUAAUUUGUAGAGGAUGAUUUUGGUUAGGUACCUUUCGAGUUCCUUGGAACAGGACGCCUUAGAGGGUGAGAGCCCCGUACGAUUGGAUGCCGAGCCUCUGUAAAUCUCCUUCGACGAGUCGAGUAGUUUGGGAAUGCUGCUCUAAAUGGGAGGUAAAUUUCUUCUAAAGCUAAAUACCGGCCAGAGACCGAUAGCGCACAAGUAGAGUGAUCGAAAGAUGAAAAGCACUUUGAAAAGAGGGUUAAAUAGCACGUGAAAUUGUUGAAAGGGAAGGAUUUAUGACCAGACUUUUUCUAGGAGGAUCAUCCGGUGUUCUCACCGGUGCACUUCUUCUAGUUUAGGCCAGCAUCGACUUCUGGCGGCGGAUAAAAGCUUUAGGAAUGUGGCUCCCUACGGGGAGUGUUAUAGCCUAUUGUAUAAUACGCUGCUGGGGGUCGAGGUACGCGCUUCUGCAAGGAUGCUGGCGUAAUGGUUAUCAAUCACCCGUCUUGAAACACG
Molecule: ribosomal RNA, 575 nt
Filed under: Pestalotiopsis besseyi
Lineage: Eukaryota; Fungi; Ascomycota; Sordariomycetes; Amphisphaeriales; Sporocadaceae
Description: LSU rRNA
Rfam family: Eukaryotic large subunit ribosomal RNA
Source: RNAcentral